Molecule: ribosomal RNA, 723 nt
Filed under: uncultured organism
Description: bacterial SSU rRNA
Rfam family: Bacterial small subunit ribosomal RNA
Source: RNAcentral
AAGUCGAACGGCAGCGGGUCCUUCGGGAUGCCGGCGAGUGGCGGACGGGUGCGUAACGCGUAUGCAACCUACCCAUCACAGGGGGAUAGCCCGGGGAAACUCGGAUUAAUACCCUAUAAAGCAGGGGUUUCGCAUGGAACUAUUUGCUAAAGAUUUAUCGGUGAUGGAUGGGCAUGCGUCUGAUUAGUUAGUUGGUGAGGUAACGGCUCACCAAGGCGACGAUCAGUAGGGGGUCUGAGAGGAUGAUCCCCCACACUGGCACUGAGAUACGGGCCAGACUCCUACGGGAGGCAGCAGUAGGGAAUAUUGGUCAAUGGGCGAGAGCCUGAACCAGCCAUGCCGCGUGCAGGAAGACGGCCUUCUGGGUUGUAAACUGCUUUUCUACGGGAAUAAAAAGGUUCUGCGGGACAAAUUGCAUGUACCGUAGGAAUAAGCACCGGCUAACUCCGUGCCAGCAGCCGCGGUAAUACGGAGGGUGCAAGCGUUGUCCGGAUUUAUUGGGUUUAAAGGGUGCGUAGGCGGAUAAUUAAGUCAGGGGUGAAAGGCAUUGGCUCAACCAAUGAAUUGCCUUUGAUACUGGUUAUCUUGAGUUCAGUUGAGGUGGGCGGAAUUUAUGGUGUAGCGGUGAAAUGCAUAGAUACCAUAAAGAACACCGAUAGCGUAGGCAGCUCACUAAGCUGAAACUGACGCUGAGGCACGAAAGCAUGGGGAGCGAACAGGAUU